AUGUGCUUUGCCAACUUACAUACUAAAAUUGGAAAGAUGUGGAAAAGAUUAUCAUGAUCUCUGGGCAAGAAUGACAAGCAAAUUCAUGCACUGUCUCAUAUUUUU
Small nuclear RNA from Diceros bicornis minor, 105 nucleotides. The record is from RefSeq and is a predicted model, not a curated record. NCBI's taxonomy places the organism in Eukaryota, Metazoa, Chordata, Mammalia, Perissodactyla, Rhinocerotidae.